UCUCGCUGUCGCCCAGGCUGGAGUGUAGUGGCGCGAUCUCGGCUCACAAUAUGUAUUAAUUGACAAUUUAUGUUACAGAGAUGGAGGUCUCACGAUGUUACCCAGGCUGGAGAGCAGUGGCUACUCACAGGCGGGAAUCCCAAGAUGGCCUCCAACUCCUGGACUCAUGCUAUCUCACCUCAGCUUCCUGAGUAGCUGAGACUACAGGCACACACCACCAUGUCCAGCUUCAAUAUCCUUUUAUGUAAGAUGAUGGAACUGAGCUCAUUGAUGUGAGGUGACUUGUUGAAUGUCAUGCGGCUGCAAAUCAUGAGGCUGGCAUCUGAGCUCGGUUCUGAGUGCAGGGACCACAUGCUCUGUCUAUAUGUUACACUCUCCAACCGCAACUCCAACCUGCCACCCACUCCUGAUGAGCCUCUCCGUCUGCAUGACCAUGUGCCCUGCUGUGGUAGGCAGAAUAACAAACACCCACAGGCACCCACAUCCUAAUCCCCAGAACCUGUGAAUAUGUUAUGUUACAUGGCAACAGGGAAUUCAGGUGGCAGGUGGAAAUAUGUUUGCGAACCAGUCGAUCGUGAGAUAGGGGCAUUAUCCUGCGUUAUCAGGGUGGGUCCAGGGUGAUCACAGGAAGAAGGAGGCAGAGGACAGAGUCAGAAAAUGUAUGAUGACAGAAGCAGUGAUUUUAUGUGAGAAAGACUCAACUUGCCAUGCUGGCUUUGAAGAAUGAGGAAGGAGCCACGAGCCAAGGAAUGCCGGCAAAUUCUAGAACUGGAAAAGGUAAGAAAAUUGUGAGAGGAGGAAGAAAGGAAGCAAGAGGGAAUGAAUAACACUGGAAAUGCUACUAGGAUAAGUAUUUCUUCAGGCAUGGGCUUCAGAAAUCUAGGGAUCAAAAUCAUGCAAAGACAUCAUCUGGGCUUGUUCCAGGGAGGCAGGAUUCCAUUCCUCACUAUCAACAUAAUUCAUGGUUUCUGUUGGCUCUUGCCCAUGGAGGAGAGGAUCAGGCCCAAGCUUUGAGUACAUAUAGAGGCUGACAAUGCUCCGACAGGGACAGAAUACUGGGUAGUAAUCAGAGCCCACCCCUAACUUUCAGGAGGCAGAAAUGGACAGCCUUGGGCCCCUGAAAGUGACAGGCAACAGGGCUGCCUGGUGCUGAGCACUUUUAAAAAUAAGAAGUGGCUCAAUUAAUCGAUAAAAAAUGGUACACAUAAGCCAUGAAAACAGGGACCCACAAGCCAAAGACUGGACCAUCUACAUGAGCUGCUUAAACUUGUAAUGGGGCUGAGAAGGUCAUUCCCCCAAAAUGUGGUGGUUUGAGAUGUUAAACUGAAGAAGAAACAUCAAGGUCUCUCUCACCUCCCCACUUCUUGCCUCUCAAUCCUUUCUCUCUCCUAAAGUGCAGCAUAAAGUUGUUCCCUGAAGUUCCCUCAUCUGCCUAAAGUCCAGACCCAUCAAAGAUGAAAACAAUGAUCCCUGGUUCCUUCCCUGGGUUUUCAUUAACUAAACUCCUCUUACAGGAAGAAAGAUUAAAGUCUGUUAACACACCCAGACAAACUUUUGUCACAAACCGUCGUCUGCUCAAUGGGCCCAACAGAUCAUUGUCCCAGAUCAUUGUAUGUUUUUUAAGCCCAUUGAAUUGCCCUAAACAUUAUUUACUACUGUGCUGAAAUAAUCCACAAUUUCCCAUUUCCAUUUUCUCUAAGGAGAAGUGUAUAGAAGCAUCUGUACCCCAUUGUGUGAUGAGGUAAUCACUGUGGUUCACCCUGUGGAUGUUAAUAAAUUUGUGUGCCUUUUCUACUAUUAAUCUGCUUUUUGUCAAUUGAUUUUCAGCAAACCUUCAGAGGGUGAAGGGGACAUUUUCCCUUGGCCCCUACACCUGCAUGUUGUUUGCGCUUCAUUUCUCCAUUAUCGUUCAUUUUAAUAGGAGAAACAGAGAAUGGGGCCUGAGUUUUGUCCUUCUCUUUGAUCUGCUUGUGCAUUUCUCCCUUCAGUUAUUUUUGGUCUUUGUCUAACAUUCUGACCUCUCAGACUUUGUUUAAAGGCAGCCUUCUGCGUUGAUCUCACUGGGAGCUGCAGACUGAAACUGGCAGAGACAACAAAACAAGAAAAUUUCA
This 2111-nucleotide long non-coding RNA is filed under the name Homo sapiens (human). RNAcentral describes it as "HSALNT0372796". The record is from RNAcentral. Lineage: Eukaryota; Metazoa; Chordata; Mammalia; Primates; Hominidae.